AGGGUUUGAUCCUGGCUCAGGAUGAACGCUAGCGGCGCGCUUAACACAUGCAAGUCGCGCGAUCGGACCGGACCUGACUCCUUCGGGAUGACGGACCGGUUACGGAGCGGCGGACUGGUGAGUAACACGUAGCUAACCUCCCUUCGGGCGGGAAAUAGCAUCGGGAAACUGAUGUUAAUAUCCCAUAACCAUGAGAGAACCCAAGUUCUCCCAUUAAAGUGGUUUCGACCAUACCUGAAGAUGGGGCUGCGUCCUAUUAGCUUGACGGUGAGGUAAAGGCUCACCGUGGCGAAGAUAGGUAGGGGGCCUGAGAGGGCGAUCCCCCACACUGGGACUGAGACACGGCCCAGACUCCUACGGGAGGCUGCAGUGGGGAAUCUUGCGCAAUGGUCGAAAGGCUGACGCAGCGACGCCGCGUGGAGGACGAAGGCCUUCGGGUUGUAAACUCCUUUUCUGGGGGAAGAAUAAGAUGAGUAGGCAAUGGCUCACCGAUGACGGUACCUCAGGAACAAGCGCCGGCUAACUUCGUGCCAGCAGCCGCGGUAAGACGAAGGGCGCAAGCGUUAUCCGGAAUUACUGGGCGUAAAGGGCGUCUAGGCGGUCAGUCAAGUCAGUCGUGAAAGUCCUUGGCUAAACUGAGGAAAGUCGACCGAUACUGAUUGACUAGAGGGACGUAGAGGGAAGCGGAACUCUCGGAGUAGCGGUGAAAUGCGUAGAGACCGAGAGGUACCUCGAUGGUGAAGACAGCUUCCUGGGCGUCUCCUGACGCUGAAGCGCUAAGGCCAGGGGAGCGAAGGGGAUUAGAUACCCCCGUAGUCCUGGCUUCAAACUAUGUGGGCUUGGUGUCGGCUCCCGAUAGAGAGUCGUUGCCGGAGCUAACGUGUUAAGCCCACCGCCUGGGGAUUACGUCCGCAAGGAUGAAACUCAAGGGAAUUGACGGGGGCCCACACAACCGGUGGAGCACGUGGUUUAAUUCGAUGAUAAGCGAAGAACCUUACCAGGGCUUGACCUAGCGGUAGUAGGACCCUGAAAAGGGAACGACCUCAAGCUUUGCUUGAGGAGCCGUGGCAGGUAUUGCAUGGCUGUCGUCAGCUCGUGUCGUGGGACGUUGGGUUAAGUCCCGUAACGAGCGCAACCCCUGCCCUUAAUUGCCAGCGGGUAAUGCCGGGGACUAUAAGGGGACUGCCGGAGAAUAUCCGGAGGAAGGAGGGGAUGACGUCAAGUCAUUAUGAUCCUUAUGCUCUGGGCUACACACGUGCUACAAUGGACGGUACAGAGAGCAGCUACACAGCGAUGUGAUGCUAAUCUUCAAAGCCGUUCUCAGUCCGGAUUAGAGUCUGCAACUCGACUCUAUGAAGCUGGAUUCGCUAGUAAUCGCACAUCAGCCAUGGUGCGGUGAAUACGUUCCCGGGCCUUGUACACACCGCCCGUCAAGCCAUGGAAGUUGGAGGUACCUGAAGUCGAUUGCCAAUUAAGGCGUUGCCUAGGGUAAAUCCAAUGACUGGGGCUAAGUCGUAACAAGGUAGCCG
Molecule: ribosomal RNA, 1529 nt
Filed under: uncultured bacterium
Lineage: Bacteria
Description: bacterial SSU rRNA
Rfam family: Bacterial small subunit ribosomal RNA
Source: RNAcentral